Molecule: ribosomal RNA, 483 nt
Filed under: uncultured bacterium
Lineage: Bacteria
Description: partial 16S ribosomal RNA
Rfam family: Bacterial small subunit ribosomal RNA
Source: RNAcentral
UUGAACGCUGGCGGCAGGCCUAACACAUGCCAGUCGAGCGGAUGAAGGGAGCUUGCUCCUGGAUUCAGCGGCGGACGGGUGAGUAAUGCCUAGGAAUCUGCCUGGUAGUGGGGGAUAACGUCCGGAAACGGGCGCUAAUACCGCAUACGUCCUGAGGGAGAAAGUGGGGGAUCUUCGGACCUCACGCUAUCAGAUGAGCCUAGGUCGGAUUAGCUAGUUGGUGGGGUAAAGGCCUACCAAGGCGACGAUCCGUAACUGGUCUGAGAGGAUGAUCAGUCACACUGGAACUGAGACACGGUCCAGACUCCUACGGGAGGCAGCAGUGGGGAAUAUUGGACAAUGGGCGAAGGCCUGAUCCAGCCAUGCCGCGUGUGUGAAGAAGGUCUUCGGAUUGUAAAGCACUUUAAGUUGGGAGGAAGGGCAGUAAGUUAAUACCUUGCUGUUUUGACGUUACCAACAGAAUAAGCACCGGCUAACUUCGUG